GCAUAUGAAGUUCCCAGGCCAGGGAUCAGAUCUGAGCCGCAGGAGCAACCUAAGCUGGGGCAAUGCCGGAUCCUUAACGCACUGCACCAGGCUGGGGAUCAAACCCGGGUCCCAGCACUCCCAAGACACCACCGAUCCCGCUGCACCACAGCAGGAACUUCACUUUUUUUUUCUUAAAGGAUCAUUUGAGUCUGAGAUUCACUUUAAAAUACUACAGGAAAAGAAAUCAUAUGGGAGGAAGGCAGAUAAAGCAAAAAAAAAACCGGCAGCUUGUCGAUGACUGUUUCAAAGAUAGAAUUGACAGCGCUGGCCUAAUACUUUACUGUCCUCUCUACAUAUGCUUGAACUUUUCGGUAAUAGAAAAGGUUAAAGAUAAAAGUAGUUGGAAAGCCAGCAAAAUAAAAGUCAAAAGCAGCAUCUGAAAAUGUACAAUGAAAGCCCAACAUGAAAGAGGAGUUUGGGAUUUAAUAAUGGGAACUGGUAUCAGGCAAGAUUCUUAAUCUGAAAAAAAUAAAAUAAAAAAUCAGCCAUGUGAAAAGAAACAGUGGCCCAACUCUAAGCUAUAAACAAGCUGCCGCAAAAUAGGCCUCUCUAUCUCUAGGGAGGCUGAUAAGGGUAAAAGCUAUCUCAGGAAGCUGUUUUACUUUCGGAAUGAGAAAAGAAAAAAAAAAGAUUACAAGUAAGAGGGGAAAAAAAAAAAACAAAAACCAAAAAACUGUACUCAGUGUUUGGCCUCCAGGAUUAAGACAGGGAGAAACAGAUCAGCCCACUGCUUCCCUGGGCACUGCCACUGGACUCGGUUCCUCUCAUGGGUCCAACUCAGGCCUGAAACACCACAACUUUAUACCUGGAGAAACGUGGGCAAGGUGCAGUGACACUUAUGGCUCCUGUUUUAUGUUCACAGAGUUCCCAGCGUGGUGCAGUGGGUUAGGAAUCCAACUGCAAGGAGUGCCCAUCACAGCUCAGUGGGUUAAGGAUCCGGUGUUGCUGUGAGCUGCACCCUAGAUCACAGACAUAGCUCGGAUCCGGCUGUGGUGUAGGCUGGUAGCUGCAGCUCUAAUUCAAUCCCUAGCCCUGGGAACUUCCAUAUGCCACACAUGUGGCCCUCAAAAAAGCGAAAAAAUAAAAAAUAAAAUAGAAUCCAACUGCAGUGACUCAAGUCGCUGCAGAGGCAAGGGUUUGAUCCUCAGACGGGUGAGAUGGGUUAAAGGAGCUGCAGCUGUGGCUUGGAUUCAAUCGCUUGGCAGGUGUGGCCAUAUUUAAAAAAAAAAAAAGAUGUUCACAUCCUUCCUUUGUCCAAGUUCAUAAGGGUAAAAAGGCAACCAUUUUUAUUUCCAAAAGGAGUGAAUUUCUGCCUUUCCAAGAAUACCGUUUUACUUUCAUCCUCUACCUCACCCUCUCUCAAACCUCAUACCUUCUCCCUCUGUACGGGGUCCCAAAUGCACACCUGACUCUGCUCCCUUCUUAAAGUCUUGGUCCAUUGGCACCAAUAGCUAGCUCUACCCUUUCUGCUACCUCGCCAGCCCUUGGACAACCCACGUGCCUGCUGCCUCAGACCACGUGGUUUCCCCCACCCCCCCGCGCCUCCUUGAAGCCCCCCACCCACCUCCUGGCUUCCGCAGCCCUGAACUGUCUGCUCUUUCACUCAUCUCUCUCCCCCUCCCCCAUCCUUACUCCAACAGAUUCUGCCCUCAGUUCUCUCCAAGAGCACAUCCACCCCUGCAGCUUCCACCACAACCAUGAUGGGACAUUCUAGGUCCCCAUCUCUUGAUCAAUUCUUUCUGGACCAACUGGACAUUUCCACCCUCUCCCACCAGCACCUCAACCACCACUUGCCCAAACCACACAUCCACACCCAUCUUUCUCUCCAGACCAGCUUGGCUCUUAACACUGUUCCCUCCUAAAAUUUUGACAGGCAGGCCUCAAACCACACUGCUGACACUCAUUUCCCCCCCAGCUGCCAAACCCCGUGGUCAAUAUCUGUAAUGACCAUCCUUCUGUUUCCUACUCCCAGUGUCCCUUCAGCAUCACUGGAUCCCCUUUUCUCCCAAGUGCACCCUUUUCCCCUAGUCUUUGUGGCCUUUGGACUCAGAAAAAUGUAGGCUUAAGUCUCUGCCAAUUACCACCUGAGGGACCUCGGCAAAGUUAGUUCAUCUCUCUGAGCUUCAAUUUCCUCAUCAGUAAAGAGAAGAGAGAAAGAGAGAAUGAGAGAAAGAGAGAGAGAGAGAGAGAGAAAGAAAGAAAGAAAGGAAAGAAGAAGAAAGAAAGAGGAAGGAAGGAAGGGGAAGGGAGGAAGGAGGAGAGCUAAUAGCACCAAACUCACGGGGAGUGUGCAUGAGGAUUCUGUAAGGAUUAAAUAUUCGUUAAGACUGGAAGUCAGGGCUUCAGCAGAGAAGAGUGAUCCUUCUGAAGAUACACAUCGGAUUAUGCUGGUGUCGCUCACACCCCUUUGGUGGGUCCCAUCCCCCUCAGCAGAGGCCUAGGAAUCCCCCCAGCCCCCCACACCCACCCGGCGCUCUCCCGGCAUGUCCUCCCGCCGCGCUGGAGCACAGGGUGUUCCUCCAAUGCGCCAGGCCUGCCUGCCUCGGGGCCUUUGCAUCUGCUCUUCCCUCUGCCUAGGUCAGAUGGCACCAUCUUGGAGGGGUCUUGCAUGACCACCUCCUACCCCCGCCCCCAGAUUCCCUACUUCUCUUCCCUGCUUAGUUUUUCUCCACGACAUUUACCAUCUCUGAUGUUCUGUGCAUUUGACAUAUUUCUUUAAUGUCUGACUCUAGCCACUGGAAGGUCCACGGGGGCUCAGGUUUAUUUUUGUUGUCCGAUCUACCCCCAACAUCUAAAACAGUGCCUGGCACACAAGAGGUGCUCAAUAUAUUCACCGAAUGGAGCGAUCAGUAAAUGUUUAUUUCCUUCCUACUUUUACUCCUGUCCUGCCUGGGCUCCCAUCAUUGAUCAUUUCUACAACCCAGCAGCUCUGUUCUAUCAACUGUCAACCCAGCAUCCACCCAGCAAUCCCCUUCCCACCACCCAAGCUUCUGAGCACUGCCAAAGAAAACAGGACCAUCGCUUGUGGAGAGGCCAUAUAUAUGUCUAUGCCAGUAUAUAUGUCUAUGCCAGUAUAUAUGUCUAUGCCAGUAUAUAUGUCUAUGCCAGUAUAUAUGUCUAUGCCAGUAUAUAUGUCUAUGCCAGUAUAUAUGUCUAUGCCAGUAUAUAUGUCUAUGCCAGUAUAUAUGUCUAUGCCAGUAUAUAUGUCUAUGCCAGUAUAUAUGUCUAUGCCAGUAUAUAUCUAUGCCAGUAUAUAUCUAUGCCAGUAUAUAUAUCUAUGCCAGUAUAUAUGUCUAUGCCAGUAUAUACGUCUACGCCAGUAUAUAUCUAUGGCCCCAGGUUGUAGGAGGUAAGUUUACCUUCUUCCUGGUCGGCCUCUGCUCCCCGUCCCUCGCAGCUGGUGUUUCCAACCUUCACUCCUUGCCCCGAGGCCCCUUCCUCUCCACAUGUGACCCCUUCUUGUGGCACAGGGGACGUGCAGGGCGCAGAGGGAGCUCUCCUACCUCCAGGCCCCUGGUUCCCCCAACUCCACUACCCUUCCCUUUACAGCUCUAUGAAAGGACAGUGUGGGAGUUCCUGUUGUGGCUCAGUGGGUUAAGAACCUGACAUAGUAUCCAUGAGGAUGUGAAUUCGAUCCCUGGCCUCGCUCCGUGGGUUAAGGAUCCAUCGUUGCCCCAAGCUGUGGUGUAGGUGGCAGAUGCGGCUGGGAUCCUGCAUUGCUGUGGCUGUGGUACAGGCCUGCAGCUUCGAUUUGACCCCUAGCCCGGGAACUUCCUAAUGCCUCAGGUGCAGGUAUUAAAAAAAAAAAAAUGAAAAAUAAAAGGACAAUGCUUUCUAGAUAUUUCACACUCAUGUAUCCGGAACCCCUAGAUGGUACCCUGUCUGCAAGGAUCUUCAAGACCUUCUGGCUAACUGCUCCCCCUCUGCCUACAAACACACCAAACCUCUGCCCAUCCCCCUUCACGCAUGCUCCCCGUUCUCUCCUAAAUACAUCCGUGUUUUUCAAGUUGUUCAACGACUCUUGAAAAACAUGUACAUCCACACAGCUACCCUCAGGAUCACGAUAGAGGAUAUUUCCGUCACCCCAAAACAUUUUCUCACACCCCUUUGGGUUCAUUAUUUCCAACCCCCAGCCCAGACAACCAUCUAUGGAUUCAUUGUUAUGUUUGUUCUAAAAUUUCACAAAUGGAAUUCAUACAGGAGGUUCCCUUUUGUGCCUGGCUUCUUUCCCUCUGCAUCAUUGGUGAAAUUCAUCCCUAUUGUUGCAUGUAUCACUUUGUUCUUUUUUGUUGCUGAAUAGUACUCCACUGUAUACAUACCAUUGUGUAGACACAACACUUUAUUUAUCUGUUGAUGGACUUUGGGUUACUCUAGUUUGGGGCUGGAAAAACAUGAAUAAAGCUGCAAGGAACAUUUGUGUACAAGUCUUUGGA
This 4475-nucleotide long non-coding RNA is filed under the name Sus scrofa (pig). Its description in RNAcentral is "lncRNA (ENSSSCG00040022847.1)". Lineage: Eukaryota; Metazoa; Chordata; Mammalia; Artiodactyla; Suidae. The record is from RNAcentral.